AAGAAAAAUCCAAAAAAACCAAAAAAAAAACCAAAAA
This 37-nucleotide small RNA is filed under the name Arabidopsis thaliana (thale cress). Its description in RNAcentral is "ATSL002940". The record is from RNAcentral. Lineage: Eukaryota; Viridiplantae; Streptophyta; Magnoliopsida; Brassicales; Brassicaceae.